AACGACACCUUAACCUGCUAAAUAGCCCAUAUUGCUUUGGCAGUACGCCGGAUUCUUAGAGGGACUAUCGGCUCAAUCCGAUGGAAGUUUGAGGCAAUAACAGGUUAACCGUCAUAGGCCUGUAAUAGUAGAGCCUCAUAAUCUGCUAGUUGCUGUCUUUACCUCUCUGAGGGAAGCCCCUCGAUAUCGGGGAGAGGGG
This 199-nucleotide ribosomal RNA is filed under the name Hypocreales sp. RNAcentral describes it as "partial small subunit ribosomal RNA". The record is from RNAcentral. Lineage: Eukaryota; Fungi; Ascomycota; Sordariomycetes; Hypocreales.